CCCUUCUUCCAAAGCUCCCUAUUAUCCUUGAGGGCGCCAUCAUCCUCCUUCACUCAGGCUUACAACCUAGGUGUUAUCUUUGACUCUUCAUUCUCACUCACCCCACAGAUCCAAUCUAUUGCCAUACCUGCUCACUUCUACCUUCAUAAGGUCUCCUGUCAAUGUUCCCUUCUCUCCUCUGAUAUAAGUGCCUCAACACCUCAUGCCUGAACUAUUACAAUUGACUGCUAGUUAUACCCUCUGGCACAGGUCUCUUCCUACUCCACUCUUGCUCCUUCUCAAACGCCCAAAUUAUCUUGUUAAAGCACGGUUCUGACCACAUUAUUUCCCUACUCAAUAAGUUCCUGUAUUUUCUGAAUACCUCCAGGGUCAAAUAUAAAAAUCUGGUUUGUUUUCAAAGUACUUCAUAACCUGGCCCCUUUCUGCAUAGGACUUACUUUUUUUUUUUUGGUGAGGCAACUGGGGUUAAGUGACUUGCCCAGGGUCACACAGCUAGUGAGUGUUAUGUGUGAAGGACUUACCUUCUACAGAUGGGUUACAACGUGCUUGUAGAAUCCAUAGAUCAUAGAUUUAAAUCUGUGAAUGAAUAAGCAGGCAUUGAACAAUAAUGAUGUGUGCUAGGCAUUAGGGAAAGUACAAAGCAUAAGAGAGUCCCUGGGCCCAAGAAGCUUAUAAUCUAGGAAAAGAGAAGAAUGUAUAAAACAACAACAUUGUCAUUGAAUUCAGAUAGGCAUAAUUCUAGAAUACAGAAAGCAAUAGCAUUCUGAUAGCACUCAGACAACCGUGCUCCCAUUGUAUUUUGUCCAGAUCAAAACACGAAGGACUUAAUGUAGGUCAUCUAUAGGCUGGCCCUGUGGUGCUGAAGAGAUGGGGAUCCAGCUACUGCUGAAACUUGAAAGGAGGUGAAUGUGUUGGCAUUCAAGUUCUACUUGGGAGAUAUUAUCUUUCUAUUCUGCCACUCCACCUUCUUUUCACAGCAAACUGAAGAUGGAAGGGGCGGUGGGCAGCAAAUGGGUUGUGAUUGCCUCUGAAACAGUUUGUUAACAGGUUUACUGUGGGGGUGCUCCUGGUUUGCAGAGGUUGUCUUGUGGCCAGCUGAAAUGCAUGGCAGGGCAAAGCUAGCAAUGUGCUCACCAUCCGUCACCAAGCUGGGGGCCAAUAGAGACCACACUCACUUUCCAUUCUCUGCUAGUUUCUAUAAAUUGCACACAGAUGCACAUGACUGGCCUCCUUAAGGGACUUGGGAUUCUGAAUACAGAAAUGGAACUUGAGGCCCAUUAUGCUGAAGCUUAUGCAGGAAUAAUGAGGGGAAAGAUACUGUAAUGGGAGUUUCUGCGUCUAAUAAAGGGAAAUUUAUUCAGAGAGUUCCA
RNAcentral lists this long non-coding RNA (1370 nucleotides) under Phascolarctos cinereus (koala). Its description in RNAcentral is "lncRNA (ENSPCIG00000034841.1)". Lineage: Eukaryota; Metazoa; Chordata; Mammalia; Diprotodontia; Phascolarctidae. The record is from RNAcentral.